UUUACUGAGAGUUUGAUCCUGGCUCAGGACGAACGUUGGCGGCGUGUCUAAGGCAUGCAAGUCGUGCGGAUCGCUGGUCGUAGCAAUACGGUCGGCGGUUAGCGGCAAACGGGUGCGUAACACAUUGGCAAUCUGCCUCGAAGUCGGGCACAACCCCGCGAAAGCGGGGCUAAUUCCACGAUGGAGAUGAGGGGACGCAAGUCAUUCUUAUCUAAAGUCGCAAGACGCUUCGAGAGGAGCCUAUGGCCUAUCAGCUUGUUGGCGGGGUAAUGGCCCACCAAGGCUAUGACGGGUAUGGGGUGUGAGAGCACGACCCCACUCACUGGGACUGAGACACUGCCCAGACACCUACGGGUGGCUGCAGUCGAGAAUAUUCCCCAAUGGCCGAAAGGCUGAGGGAGCGACGCCGCGUGCGGGACGAAGGGCUUCGGCUCGUAAACCGCUUUUCUCAGGGACGAACACUGACGGUACCUGAGGAAUAAGAGGUUGCUAACUCUGUGCCAGCAGCAGCGGUAAUACAGAGACCUCGAACGUUGUCCGGAUUCAUUGGGCGUAAAGGGUCCGUAGGCGGCUUCACACGUCGAUGGUCAAAUCUCGGGGCUUAACCCCGAACCUGCCGUCGAUACGAUGAGGCUCGAGCAUGGGAGAGGCGAGCGGAAUUGCCGGUGUAGUAGUAAAAUGCGUUCAUAUCGGCAAGAACACCAAAUGCGAAGGCAGCUCGCUGGAACAUUGCUGACGCUCAGGGACGAAAGCGUGGGGAGCGAAAGGGAUUAGAUACCCCUGUAGUCCACGCCCUAAACGAUGGAUGCUAGAUAUCGGGAGUAUCGACCCUCCCGGUGUCGGUGAAAAAAGCUAACGCAUUAAGCAUCCCGCCUGGGGAGUACGGUCGCAAGACUAAAACUCAAAGGAAUAGACGGGGACCCGCACAAGCGGAGGAGCAUGUGGUUUAAUUCGAUGGUAAGCGAGAAACCUUACCUGGGCUUGAAAGACAGCUGCAAGCCGCCGGAAACGGUGGCCGCCUUCGAGGGUGCUGUCUAGGUGCUGCAUGGUUGCCGUCAGCUCGUGUCGUGAGAUGUACCGUUAAGUCGGAUAACGAGCGCAACCCCUGUUCCGUGUUGCAUAUCACGGAAGACCGCCUCGGAUAACGGGGAGGAAGGUGGGGAUGACGUCAAAUCAGCAUGGCUCUUACGUCCAGGGCUACACACGUGCUACAAUGGCAUCGACAAUGGGUCGCCAAGCCGCAAGGCGGAGCUAAUCCCACCAAACGAUGCCCCAGUUCGGAUUGAGGGCUGCAAUUCGCCCUCAUGAAGCCGGAUUCGCUAGUAAAUGCGUAUCAGCAAUGGCGCAUUGAAUACGUUCUCGGGUCUUGUACUCACCGCCCGUCACGUCAAGAGAGUCGGAAAUACCCGAAGGCCCCGAUGAGGGGACGAAGGUAGAGCCGAUGAUAGGGACGAAGUCGUAACAAGGCAUCCGUAGCGGAAGCUGUGGAUGGAUCACCUCCUUUCUAGGGAG
RNAcentral lists this ribosomal RNA (1512 nucleotides) under Candidatus Uhrbacteria bacterium RIFCSPHIGHO2_02_FULL_60_44. Its description in RNAcentral is "bacterial SSU rRNA". It matches the Rfam family "Bacterial small subunit ribosomal RNA". The record is from RNAcentral. RNAcentral also lists the same sequence under 1 other name. Lineage: Bacteria; Candidatus Uhriibacteriota.